Molecule: ribosomal RNA, 798 nt
Filed under: uncultured bacterium
Lineage: Bacteria
Description: bacterial SSU rRNA
Rfam family: Bacterial small subunit ribosomal RNA
Source: RNAcentral
GCGAGCGGAACAACAGAUUUACUUCGGUAAUGACGUUGGGAAAGCGAGCGGCGGAUGGGUGAGUAACACGUGGGGAACCUGCCCCUAAGUCUGGGAUACCAUUUGGAAACAGGUGCUAAUACCGGAUAAUAAAGCGGAUCGCAUGAUCAGCUUUUGAAAGGCGGCGUAAGCUGUCGCUAAGGGAUGGCCCCGCGGUGCAUUAGCUAGUUGGUAAGGUAACGGCUUACCAAGGCGACGAUGCAUAGCCGAGUUGAGAGACUGAUCGGCCACAUUGGGACUGAGACACGGCCCAAACUCCUAUGGGAGGCAGCAGUAGGGAAUCUUCCACAAUGGACGCAAGUCCGAUGAGCAACGCCGCGUGAGUGAAGAAGGUUUUCGGAUCGUAAAGCUCUGUUGUUGGUGAAGAAGGAUAGAGGUAGUAACUGGCCUUUAUUUGACGGUAAUCAACCAGAAAGUCACGGCUAACUACGUGCCAGCAGCCGCGGUAAUACGUAGGUGGCAAGCGUUGUCCGGAUUUAUUGGGCGUAAAGCGAGCGCAGGCGGAAAAAUAAGUCUAAUGUGAAAGCCCUCGGCUUAACCGAGGAACUGCAUCGGAAACUGUUUUUCUUGAGUGCAGAAGAGGAGAGUGGAACUCCAUGUGUAGCGGUGGAAUGCGUAGAUAUAUGGAAGAACACCAGUGGCGAAGGCGGCUCUCUGGUCUGCAACUGACGCUGAGGCUCGAAAGCAUGGGUAGCGAACAGGAUUAGAUACCCUGGUAGUCCAUGCCGUAAACGAUGAGUGCUAAGUGUUGGGAGGUUU